RNAcentral lists this ribosomal RNA (224 nucleotides) under uncultured bacterium. RNAcentral describes it as "partial 16S ribosomal RNA". It matches the Rfam family "Bacterial small subunit ribosomal RNA", at positions 524 to 744 of the family's 1533-position model. The record is from RNAcentral.
UACGUAGGGUGCAAGCGUUAAUCGGAAUUACUGGGCGUAAAGCGUGCGCAGGCGGUUUUGUAAGUCUGACGUGAAAUCCCCGGGCUCAACCUGGGGAAUUGCGUUGGAGACUGCAAGGCUAGAAUCUGGCAGAGGGGGGGUAGAAUUCCACGUGUGAGCAGUGAAAUGCGUAGAGAUGUGGAGGAACACCGAUGGCGAAGGCAGCCCCCUGGGUCAAGAUUGAC